Molecule: ribosomal RNA, 492 nt
Filed under: uncultured bacterium
Lineage: Bacteria
Description: partial 16S ribosomal RNA
Rfam family: Bacterial small subunit ribosomal RNA
Source: RNAcentral
AGUGAGCGCUGGCGGUAGGCCUAACGCAUGCAAGUCGAACGGCAGCACAGUAAGAGCUUGCUCUUACGGGUGGCGAGUGGCGGACGGGUGAGGAAUACAUCGGAAUCUACUUUUUCGUGGGGGAUAACGUAGGGAAACUUACGCUAAUACCGCAUACGACCUACGGGUGAAAGCAGGGGAUCUUCGGACCUUGCGCGAUUGAAUGAGCCGAUGUCGGAUUAGCUAGUUGGCGGGGUAAAGGCCCACCAAGGCGACGAUCCGUAGCUGGUCUGAGAGGAUGAUCAGCCACACUGGAACUGAGACACGGUCCAGACUCCUACGGGAGGCAGCAGUGGGGAAUAUUGGACAAUGGGCGCAAGCCUGAUCCAGCCAUACCGCGUGGGUGAAGAAGGCCUUCGGGUUGUAAAGCCCUUUUGUUGGGAAAGAAAAGCAGCAGGUUAAUACCCCGCUGUUCUGACGGUACCCAAAGAAUAAGCACCGGCUAACUUCGUG